UACGAAGGGGGCAAGCGUUGUCCGGAAUCACUGGGCGUAAAGGGCGCGUAGGCGGCUCAUGAAGGCUGUGGUGAAAGUCCGGGGCUCAACCUCGGAUCGGCCGUGGCGACUCGUGGGCUGGAGCACUGUAGAGGCGGGUGGAAUUCCGGGUGUAGCGGUGGAAUGCGUAGAGAUCCGGAAGAACACCAGUGGCGAAGGCGGCCCGCUGGGCAGUGGCUGACGCUGAGGCGCGACAGCGUGGGGAGCAAACAGG
This 253-nucleotide ribosomal RNA is filed under the name uncultured bacterium. Its description in RNAcentral is "partial 16S ribosomal RNA". It matches the Rfam family "Bacterial small subunit ribosomal RNA", at positions 524 to 776 of the family's 1533-position model. The record is from RNAcentral.